This 421-nucleotide long non-coding RNA is filed under the name Junco hyemalis (dark-eyed junco). RNAcentral's name for it is "lncRNA (ENSJHYG00000011828.1)". Lineage: Eukaryota; Metazoa; Chordata; Aves; Passeriformes; Passerellidae. The record is from RNAcentral.
GGAGAAGUUUGGUGCACAGGGUUUCUUGCAGAGAAACAGAUCCUGUCCUUGAACACACAGCCCCAGCUCACAGAUUUGCAGAGUUGGCUUAGGAAGUGAAACUGAAUUGUCUUCCCCUGGUCCUGCCACUGGUGCUAGAGGUGGAGUCAUGCUGUUAACCACUGCACUGGACUACCCUGCCAUGUGUCACUUUGUCAAGUAACAGCAAACUUUGAAAAAGAGGCAAAAAGAAGAUAAGCUGGAGUUUUCAGCUAUGAAGAAUUUUUUUUUACUAAUAUGUUGUCAAGAUUAAUUCACUAAUAUUAAGUGAGUACUUUCAGAUCAUUGCACUGAAGUUGCACUACAAAAGAAGUAUGUAAUUUGUUUUCUCACAUCUGAAGCCCAUUAUUAGUACAACAAAUAAAGAACAUUUUAAAUGUCA